GAAAAAUAUAUUUUUUGUGUUUGCAAAGUUUACAUUUUUUCUUUCAUAAACUGUUUUAAACAAAUUUUAUAACAUUAAAAAAAUACAAUUACUCAGAAAAAAAGUUAUUUUGGGAUUUUGAUACAGAGAAAUGGCAUGACAGGUUCGAUAAACCCAAUUUAGCUAAACCAUACCAUUCAUUUUCAUUGCUGUUCACGUGGGAUGGUCGCAGUUUUAUUGAUUUGAGUGAGGAUUAGAGGAAGUUUUUGCAUUUAACAGUAGUCAGACGAUCAACAAUGGCACCUGCUCGGAGUGGUGGAGUGUUUGGAACUCUGAAAAGCUUUUAUUACGAUCCCUUCCGGUGGUCAAUAGUGAAGAGCAUAGCAGUGUUUGCUGUGGGAGUCAAGAUUGCCAGAGAGUGUGUUGGCCUUGAUCUGCUGGCACCACCAACAGCAUAAGGUUAUUUCCACAUCACCAUUGAUGGAAGAGUUGGAUGCAAGAUACAUGGUCAGUGCUUGUGAAGUGGAUGGGAUGAAUGCAGAGCAGAAUGUCGGUGCAAGAAAGAUGUACAAGUGCUCUGAUUAUGUUAAUGGGUCAUCUUGGUGUUCAUUUUGACAUUGUGAAGUGAAAAUACAUCACUACAACUCAA
Long non-coding RNA from Amphibalanus amphitrite, 628 nucleotides. RefSeq lists it as uncharacterized. The transcript has 3 exons. The record is from RefSeq and is a predicted model, not a curated record. NCBI's taxonomy places the organism in Eukaryota, Metazoa, Arthropoda, Thecostraca, Balanomorpha, Balanidae.